AUCCCCACUUCUCCAAAACCCUAGAAUCUCAUUAAUCUUGCAAAUUGAAGGAUUAAUCCAAGUAGAAAUCGAGAAUUGAGCCUAGAAUCGUAAUCCUCAUCACAAGAGGAUUGUAAGGACGAGAUACCGGAACGUCGAGUGGACAAGCCGGUGGGGAUUCGCGGUUGAAGGGCGUGCGCUAAGGUAAGUUGGUGGAUCUUACGGGUGGCGAUCAAGUGAUUGAAUGAAGAACCGAACACUCCAUUUUGAAGCUUCCGCAAUGUUUUAGAUCUUUUGUAGUCUUUGUGUAUGGGUUGUAAACACAUGUUUAA
Helianthus annuus (common sunflower) is the source of this 311-nucleotide long non-coding RNA. RefSeq lists it as uncharacterized. The record is from RefSeq and is a predicted model, not a curated record. NCBI's taxonomy places the organism in Eukaryota, Viridiplantae, Streptophyta, Magnoliopsida, Asterales, Asteraceae. The transcript has 3 exons.